Long non-coding RNA from Peromyscus californicus insignis, 795 nucleotides. RefSeq lists it as uncharacterized. NCBI's taxonomy places the organism in Eukaryota, Metazoa, Chordata, Mammalia, Rodentia, Cricetidae. The transcript has 3 exons. The record is from RefSeq and is a predicted model, not a curated record.
UAAGAAACUCGAUUCUCCAGGUGCUGAAUAGGGUGAUGGCGAUUACUCAGGGCCAGCAGAUAGAUGUAUGGGCACUAACAGCCUUUCAGAACCAAGGUCUCUAAAGUGGUCUGGGCAGGGACAUUCAAAAGCCCUGACUAUAAGUGAAGCAGCUAGAGCCCCGGAAAGCUAGGGUGCCUAAACAUGGGCCUGAGAACCCUGCGGCCCAGCUGGGAGGGGGGCGUCGGGGAUCCCCAGGUCAAAGGCGCGGCUGUGGGGGGAUCCCCACGCCGCCUGCACCCCCUCCUUGGCGGCGGUGGCAGGAGAUGGGGGAGGCGAGGCUGCCGAGAGAGCUGACCAUGGACAGCUCCGGCGCGGGCCUGUUUCCAGGGCGAGCCAGCCCGGAUCGAGGAACGUCGCCGGCUGUUCCAGCCAGAAGAUCCCAGGCGGUCGUGGCCCCUUUAACAGAAGACUGACGGACGGCGCUGAGCGGCCAAUGAGAAUUAGCGUCCGUGCCGGCCGGCGACAAGGCCCCGCCUUCGCAUCCAGAGGGAGGGGCCGCGCGGGCGGAGAGGCAAGGGCGGCUCCCGGAAGGAUGUGCUCGGUUGGAAGGUGAGGCUAGUAGCCGAUGGGUAGCGAGUGCCUGGUACUCCGCACCCCUGCGCCCGCCUGGGGAACUGCACGCGGCCCGCCACCCCCGACUCCCACGCAGACGGUGGCACGGCCCACAGGGCUCCCCCAGCGAAUGGUUCGCUCCGCCACGCCUACAGAGGCUGCGCUCAGGCUCCUGCCGCGUUUCAAGACUCCCGCGUCUGA